Long non-coding RNA from Triticum aestivum (bread wheat), 223 nucleotides. RefSeq lists it as uncharacterized. NCBI's taxonomy places the organism in Eukaryota, Viridiplantae, Streptophyta, Magnoliopsida, Poales, Poaceae. The transcript has 3 exons. The record is from RefSeq and is a predicted model, not a curated record.
GCCUACUGCCGUGGGCCUGCCCCUAAGCCGCUCCCAACUCAGGUCGUCAAGAGUUUUUUUGUAUCAGUUAUGCAAAGGAAUUGCACACUGCCAUGGCCAUGGUGUCCUUCAUCGGGAUUUAAAGCCCCAAAAUCUAUUGGUUGACAAGGAGAAGAUGAUACUGAAAAUUGCAGAUCUUGGGUUAAGUAGAGCUUUUACUGUUCCUAUGAAAAGCAGAUCUUGG